Molecule: unclassified non-coding RNA, 307 nt
Organism: Cercocebus atys (sooty mangabey)
Lineage: Eukaryota; Metazoa; Chordata; Mammalia; Primates; Cercopithecidae
Rfam family: Metazoan signal recognition particle RNA
About the family: The signal recognition particle (SRP) is a universally conserved ribonucleoprotein. It is involved in the co-translational targeting of proteins to membranes.
Source: Ensembl
ACAGGGAAAGGUGGUGCAUGCCUAUAUUCUCAACUUCUUGGGAGGCUGAGACAGGGGCAUUGCUUGAGGCAAGGAUUUCUAAGAUAUAGUGUGUCAUGCCAGUCAGAUGUCCACACUAAGUUUUUCGUCAGUGUGGUGACCUCCUGUGAGCAGGAGACUGCCAGGUUGCUCAAAGAAGGGUAAACUAUCCCAGCUUAGAAAUGAAGCGGUCAAAACUCUCAUGCUGAUCCAUAGUGGGAUCACACCUGUGAAUAGUCACAAUAGUCACAGCAUUCCAGCCUGGACAACAUAACGAUACCCUGUGUCU